This 253-nucleotide ribosomal RNA is filed under the name uncultured bacterium. Its description in RNAcentral is "partial 16S ribosomal RNA". It matches the Rfam family "Bacterial small subunit ribosomal RNA", at positions 524 to 776 of the family's 1533-position model. The record is from RNAcentral.
UACAGAGGUCUCAAGCGUUGUUCGGAUUCAUUGGGCGUAAAGGGUGCGUAGGCGGCGCGGUAAGUCGGGUGUGAAAUCUCGGAGCUUAACUCCGAAACUGCAUUCGAUACUGCCGUGCUUGAGGACUGGAGAGGAGACUGGAAUUUACGGUGUAGCGGUGAAAUGCGUAGAUAUCGUAAGGAACACCAGUGGCGAAGGCGGGUCUCUGGACAGUUCCUGACGCUGAGGCGCGAAGGUCAGGGGAGCAAACGGG